Molecule: ribosomal RNA, 253 nt
Filed under: uncultured bacterium
Lineage: Bacteria
Description: partial 16S ribosomal RNA
Rfam family: Bacterial small subunit ribosomal RNA
Source: RNAcentral
UACGUAGGGGACAAGCGUUGUCCGGAUUUACUGGGCGUAAAGAGCGCGCAGGCGGUCGAUCAAGUCGAGUGUGAAAGCCCCCGGCUCAACUGGGGAGGGUCAUUCGAUACUGAUCGACUCGAAGGCAGGAGAGGGUAGUGGAAUUCCCGGUGUAGUGGUGAAAUGCGUAGAUAUCGGGAGGAACACCAGUGGCGAAAGCGACUUCCUGGACCAAUACUGACGCUCAUGUGCGAAAGCGUGGGGAGCAAACAGG